ACACGAAGCUGGAAUCGCUAGUAAUCGCGAAUCAGAAUGUCGCGGUGAAUACGUUCCCGGGUCUUGUACACACCGCCCGUCACACCAUGGGAGUCAGCAACGCCCGAAGUCAGUGACCUAACCGAAAGGGAGGAGCUGCCGAAGGCGGGGCCGGUAACUGGGGUGAAGUCGUAACAAGGUAAC
RNAcentral lists this ribosomal RNA (183 nucleotides) under uncultured bacterium. RNAcentral describes it as "partial 16S ribosomal RNA". It matches the Rfam family "Bacterial small subunit ribosomal RNA", at positions 1318 to 1500 of the family's 1533-position model. The record is from RNAcentral.